UACUGUCAAUGCUCCAGAAUUCCCCUAAGCUACAAAGAGCAUCACCCACACCAUCUUUUAUUCUUCCUCGCCUUUAUGGAGAAGAAAAAAAAAAACAGAGGAAAAAAAGAUGUUCUUCACAUCUCUGAAAGAAAAAUACAUUCUAUGGGGCAAAGGAAAUGCUACUUAUCUGCAUCUUCAUUUAUUGGUAUUAUGCACACCCUCAAAUCACUGUUACUGCUGAACAUCGCAUGGCAUGAUGCAGGCUGGGCAUCGCUUCCUGAGACAGACAGUCCCUGGGGCUCCCUGGGUUCACUCCCCCGCCCUGCCUCCCCGGCGCCUUGCCCAGGAGGAGGGCAUUGCCACGCUGGGGGAAGAGCUGAGCCCCUACUCCAGACCUACGUGCUGCUGCUUCACUCCCUCCUCUCAUUCCUGCUUGUUUACUUUAUAGAAACCAAACAGUGACUGACAAAAGACAUCUUGGCCAAGAAGAAGAUGAAGCAUCUGGUGUCAUGAGACUUUUGCAGUGAACCUUCCCACCCUGCAGGAAUCUGUGACCCCGGGAGCAUCAGAACGUGUGGUGGGGUCUUUGUAUUUCAGACCGUGCUGUGGGACCUUCUCCCGUAACUUCAUGUGGUAACUCUUUGAAGACUCGUAAGCUAGCAGCCUCAGCACCUUGCUGUAAUCUUUGGUUUAACCAUGUAUUAUCUGGAAAGUCACUUCCUCACCACUCUUUUGAAUUUUCCUCCUGCUGGCUUACUUGUGGACUGUCUAGUUCUUACACUGGAAUUGUUUCCCACAUCCCUGCCCCAUGCCAGCAAAGAUUUUAUAGACUUGUACCAUACGUACCUUCUCAGUUGUCUCUUUUUCAGGCUGAACAGUCUGUAUCUAUUUAAGUUAUUCCUUGCACAGAAGCUGUCCUAUUGAGUUUCAUCUGCUAUUUUAUCAUCUAUGCCAUGUCAUUAGGGGCUUCUGCAGUUCUUUAUUAUCUUUAUACCUUACCUUUACCCUUAUCUUUUUUAUCCUGAAUUACUUCCUUUGCUGAUUACUUCCUUCAACUUGAAUCCUGAGCAUUUAUUCCCCUUUCUCUUUAUUGAUAUGGGGGCAUGUCCCCUUGUUUUGUGGUACCUUCUUUAAGAGCUUUUGGUGAGGAAUCUUGUCAAAAUGCUUUUAGAAAACCGAAUACAUACAACAAUCAUAUCUUCUUUGUCCAUCUUCUUUGUUUCCAGCAUAAUGUAGUAAUUAUGUCAGAUGGGACUUGCCUUUGGGACUUGCCUUUACAAAAUCCGUGUUGAUUCUUCCCAAGAAAUUAGUAUGUAUCCAUGUAAUUCUCUUCCUCAUAUGGGCUUAUUGCUUGGUAUUUCAUUGCAUGUAACGUGGAUUCCUUUCCAAAAGUGGUGCCACAGUAACCUUGUACUGUAAUAUGGAAGCAAUUGUAAGCUUAAAGUUAUGCAUCGGUUCAAAUGUUCCACAUUUUGAGAGCUCUUGUGUGAAUACCAUCAAGACCUUGCAAUUUAUUAACAUUAAUUUUGUGAUUUGUUCCCUAAUCUCUUCUACUGACAUUUUAUUGAGUUAGAGCCUCCACUGUGUUUCCCAAAGACUCCUUGUAUGGAAACCUUCCCAAGUUCCUCUGUAAUCAAGGUAAAUUAAAAAAAUUCAUGCAGCUUUUUUUGGUACUGCAGCUAGACCAGUGAAAUAAUGUGCUCACAGCAUGGCUUCUGAUUAUUGUGGUCACUAUUUUACAAGGAACACACAACAGCUGUUAUAGGCAUGUGAUGCAGGAGCUCUACAAAGCCAGGUUUGCAGACCAGCAAUAAUUUAUGUAAGUCUCCUGGCCACCUGAUGCUUUUUAAUAUGGAUCUCUGUACAGCACAGGUAGAAUCUAAAUACUUUGGUUUACAUAUUAGCCAACACCAGCUUCCUCUGCUGUAUUAUUUUCUUCUCUUGUCUUUGGCUGAUAUAAGGAGACAUAUACCAACUCAGGAUAUGUUCCUAACUUUUAAAACUGUUUCCCACUUCAGUGCAAAGGUGAGUGUUAAUUUAGUUCUGUUAUUAACUUCUGUAACUAUUCUCUGGUGUAACAAUAUAUAUAUACCUCUAAAUAGCAGCCAGACAGUAACUGUCCAAAUGAUAGCCAAUAUCAUGGUGGCUGCAAAAUUCAUUGGGGAACCACUGGUCUAGCAAUCCAUUACCAAGAUUGGAUUUUAUAGCUUGCUUUCUGUUUUAUCUCCACAGGAAACUCACUUAAAGACAAUUUAAAGGCUAGAUGCUUCCUUAUACUUGUGUAGCUGAGAGCUAAAUACCGUUGUAAGGGAACUAGGGCUUAAAAUGACUGAGCAAUAUCAAAUGAACAUUUUCUACCUCUCUUUUUGCAGAAAACUAUGUCCAAGUGUAACUAUAAAGCUAAUUGAAAUCAUGAUGGAAGUUUCUAAUAGCUAUUAAUGGCUUCAUAUUAUAAUAUCUUUUCUUGUAGCAAUAAUACUUUCAAAACUACCCUGACCGGCAGUCCUUUCUUGUUGCUGUCAUUGUUGUAUUAAUUGUGUUUUCUUUCUAACUUAGGGAGAAGGUUGCACUGUUUAGUUUUAUUUAUACUGCUAAAUAUUAUGACUCAGUAUGGCAUGGAACAUGACUCUUAGCAAUGAUACCAUUUACAGGCAAUGGUUAUAAUAACAAGACAAACAGUACUUACUGGUAAUUGAGGUCCUUAAUUAAUAACAUUUUAAAUCCUAGGACAAUCUGUUCAUUAAACAUUGCAGUAAAACUGCUCAAAAUUCAUGUCUUCUAUUCACAUUGUACCUGGAAUCAUUGCUGUGCUAACAGGUUUCAUCAGUCUCUCAAUUAAAUCUGACAAAUAUAAACUGCUUUGCCAUAUAGUUAGAAAAAACACCUUUAUUUUAGAGCCUGUGGUAAUCCAGGCUUUUGAAUCUACAUCCUGGUUCAGCUGGUAGCUGCAUCACUACUAAGCCUCUGUUCCAGCAUGGCGGGAGAAAGAAAUUACAUGGCUGUUAGCAUCUGGAAGACUUGCCUUCCAGGCAUCAAAUAUCACUGAGAAGGAUUUACAGCACCUCUUUACCACGUAAAGCAAGCCCAACAGCAGGAACAUCUGGAUGUGGUCCAGUUUGGCUGAAGAAUAAGGAACAGCACCUCAGCAAGUGUCCACUGCUGGGAACUGCAGCUCCUCUGAAGAUCCAUAAAUUCCAGUGAUCUGGGGCUUCACUUUGGUGACAGAUGAUGGCCGGGAGAACAUAAUGGAGAGGUGACCUGAAGCAGCUCUAGUGCGGGUUUGUGUCAGGUCCUGGUGCACAGCUCUAUCAGCUAAAAACUAGGAACUGUCACACAAUACUUGGUAGCUGAAGAGCGUCUUCUGGGGAAGCUGAAGGCGUUGCAGUUGCCACUCUGCCCAUCUGUGCUAGCACAUGCUCCAGCUCACAUGACAGGGAAGAGUCUGGUCUUUGGCAAAGCAUUUCCACUUCUCUCAGUGUUGCAGAGGUAUCUGUCCCAUCUGUCUUCUGCUUCAGAUCACUGUAAUUUGAGAAUAGCACCCUGGCACUGAGGACUGAUAGCUGUGAUUGGGUAAGUGCUAGAAAUCAAGCCUGAAAUGAAAGUCCAGCUAAAUUAAGAAAUGUUUACAGUCAGAAAGGUCUGCCUCACACCUCUAAGGCUGUUACUUUUUUCUCGUCAUUUUCCACCAGAAAUCUUUUCUAGGUAAGUACUUGCAGUUCACAGUUAAGAUACAACUUAACCUUUCAGGUAAAUGCUAAGUGAUUUUCUUUGCUUUAUAAGAACUGAUGCUUUUUAAAAAGUCAGGAACAAACAAUCAGAUAUGUUUAAAUGAACACCUGGACAGUGCCAGAUGUCAUUCAUCUAAGUUGGUAUGGCAGGACUAAGUUUUUUCCUUUGUCUGUAUUAUUCACAAAGAUGGGACACUCCGCAUUUAGAGUACUCUCCUGUCGUGACAGCACUGCAGUAUAAAUUUUCCACCUGAACCCUGUCAUUCUGUUCUCAGUUCAAGUAAUUUCUGACAAGGACUGUGGGUCUUGGCAGUUUCAGCUGAAGUCUUGGUGAGGGAAAACAUGACUGAAAUACUACAGAAAGAAAAAUCCACUUUAAUUUUGAGCAGUGCAUCAGGACCUGACACAAACCCACACUAGAGCUGCUUCGGUUUCUUUAAAAUUCUUUUUCACUUAAAAUACAAGCUCAUACAAGAGUUUGAAUAUUGCUUAUAUUGCUUCCUAUGGUCAUCUUGAUGUUGAUGCUUUGGUAAACUUUUCAUUCACAGUCACCUUGAGCCAGAUCCAGUAAAAGACUUUGGUGCCUUAAAGCACCAAGUUUACAUUUUCAGGUGCCUGAGCCUGAGCUGUAUUGCAAAGCACCUACAGUUCCUAGUGGUGCACAGAGAGCACAUUAGAUUGGAGAUCGUCCAAAAUAUUUUUGUGGCAAGCAGGGAAAAACCUACAGCUAAAUGCUAAAUCCUGUAAUAGGUCAGAAAUUUUUGCUCCACUCCAGAGCUUAGGUAUGUGAAUUGGGACUGCAAGGCACCCUUCUUGUGUCAUUCAAAACCCAGAGCUGAAAACACACUCCUAAAUGUUCCUGGGCAGAAUGAGCAGGUGCUGUUUCCCCCUUCUCCACAGUAGCCCAUCUCUUAAAGCAGAGAAGUUUGAAAUCCACAUCCCACAGAGCAGGUAAUUCACUCACUUCCACUAUCAAACUGGGAAGAAGAGAAGUUAAAGGAGAUUUGAUGAGGGACCCCAACUGACGCCACCUAUUGGUAGCUGGCCAUUAUGCAAUUAAAAAUAACAGGAUUCCCAGGAUUAGGAAUUCUGGGAAUUCCCAGGAAAGCAAACAAAAAGGAUCUGUGUCCAGUGGUUAGGGCACACAGUAAUGGAAAGAGAGGGGAAAAGGUUGGUCUCUGCCUGCAGAGCUUGCUUACAUUCCUGAUCGUACUAUUCAUUCCAUAAUUAAAAAUUAUGUACCGUAAAGUCAGGGUUGCUAAACCCAAUCUGGGCCAGCUGUGCUCUCAGAAAUGAUAUGAUAACUGUGAAAACAUGAAUUUGGGAGAGAGGAAUCUUUGGACAUACAUCCCUGCUUCUGGCAUAUCAUUUCACCUGUGUUAGCAGCACUUUAUAGUAUAAAACUGCAAUUUCUCUGCAGGCAUCAGUAGCCAGACCUCAGGGCUGUGGAUUUCACAAAGCAGGAGCUAAGCAUCUAAAGUUUAAACACUAACAUCAAGUUAAUUUGGAUACCAAAAAUUCUUCCCUUUGAGAAAUUACAAAACAUGUAGAAAAAAGAGAUUAGGAGGUAAGAGAAAAGAAUAUAAUCUAUAACAGACUCUUUAGGAUAAGUGAAAUGUGGUCUUUAUACAAAUGUAGAUUUAUAUAAACUUCAAUGGGUUUAGUUUAUUUAACAUUUUAAAAUUGUGCUGUGGUUCUAGAAGGGAGAAAAUGUUGGGACCUUCAAGUGUAAGAAAUGUGUUGUUAACCUUCAAGCAGCUAGCUAGCCCACCUUAAUUCUCAAUUACGAAGGAGCUGAUUUGACAGCUGUCAUUAAAUCUAUUCAGAUUUAUUCUGGGGUGUACACAGAUGUUUGAUAGGGGUAAAGGGAGGGAACGGUUUAUUGGACUGCUCUCUGGAGGGGCUGCUCAAAUGCUGUGCUGGCCCAUCAGAUGGUGAAGUGCUGUUUUGUCGCCAGUUCCAGAAGCUGAAGUGAAACUUCAAAUUCACAUCUUAGAUUCCUUUCUGCAAGAUUCACCUGAUGUUUUUCCUUUGUUUGUGGACGAAAGUCAAAAUCAGGAGAUGUGAAAGAGACGGGUGGCUUCAAAAGGGACUUCUGUAAUUAGCUACAGACUGCAGUGUAGUCACUAUAUUGACAUCAGAUCCUGUUUCAGGUACGUGACAUCACUAUUUUACUAAGGACAAAGGAUGCAUAUUGCAAAGGUGGGAUAAGGAUGGACCAUCCACCAUAGACUAAGUUCCUGUGGGCCUUGAUGUACCUUUGCAGGCACCAGCUAUCACUUUGCAACCUUCCCUCCCAAAAUCCCCAAGAGAAAUGACGGCACUGAUUCUUCAGCCUGAAAUGGGGACAAAACCAAUGUAAAGACACUUUUCAGUUCAGAAAAUGAACAUCAGAAAUACGUCUAACUGCAAUGGCAGUUCCUCAUAGCAAGUAGGGCCAAAGAAUACAAGAGCUGAAAUGUUGAAUAUCUUUUUAUAUUAAUCAUUUAACUCUGUUUUUUGGGAGAAUACAAUUUGGAAUCCUUGUAGCCACAGAGGAAAGUACCAGAGUACAUUUCCAUACUAAACUAGAAUGCUUUCCCUUCCAAUCACACAUUGUGGUUUUCCUAGGGUUUUGUCAGUGGUGGAUCAGUGAAAGAGCUACUGAAAUAUGUGCUCAUCAAAAUACCUCGUAACAUUUAUAUUCCCUGGGAUAGAAGAGAGAAAGAGCGGGCUGAUUAGCAUCGGUACUUGAUGGUGAACUUCCAAGAAGAAAACAUUAAUUGGCUUCUGAGAUUGUAAUAUAGAUUUGUGCUCAUUUGCUUUUUAUGCUAAAAUAUUUGCCCAGUUAAAGAUUUAUGCCACAUCUGUAGUCGAUCGUGUUUUGGAACUAAAUGAAUGGUUACCUCACUGAAUUUCUUGCUUUAGGAUUUAGGAGUGAUUAUUUGCAGUGUUCAUUUGAUGGUUUUGACUAAUCUGAGGAUUUACUGCUAGUGGUGCUGAUAAAUUGUUACAUGAUUUUAUUUUGACCAUAUUUUGAUAUUUGCACUGAUUAAGUCCUAAGUGAUUGGGAAGUAUUUGUAGAAGGCUUAACUAUUUUGUCCUCUUUAAAUUGAUUCCUGCUUAUUUAUUACUUUUAAUAAAAUUCAUGAAAAGCACGUUCAGUCACUUUAUCUUCAAUACAUGGUUUUAGAUGAGGCACUGAGACUGAACCAAUUACUUUCAUAUACCUUUGGCUGACUCUGGGUGAUUUAAUAGACGAACGGGAGGGAAUUAUCCAGUAUCAAUGAGUGAAUGCAUACUGGUUCUAAGUGCAUGGUAACUGCGGACAUGGCUUGGUAAAAGCAGAGAUAUCAUUAAUUUCAAUUGUACUCAGACUGCCCUUUCCCAGUAUGAUUUCCUGUCUCAAAAUGGCCAAUAAAACAGAAGUUUCAGUGCACAAGGAAGUUUUUGACAUAUGAUCUUAAUUCAAAUCAGAUUAAAACCAACUUUUAUAAAAAUUUCCUAUGAAGCAAAAAUUCCCCAGAGCCAGCAACUGUUCUGUGAAUAUUACAUUCUUGUCAGUUUGACUAAAAAUAGCUGUAAUAUUGAUAUAUGAGAGCAGUUGCAGGGGUUUUCAGUAUUCUUGGGCCCACAGCAGAUCUCUUGGUGGGAUGUCAAGACGUUAACCCUGAUGCUCUCAGGAUCUAUAGCUCUGCGAUAGGCACAAACCUCUUCUGGCUCCAGAGGAACUGUGCUGAGUCCCAGAUGCUUUGAAUGAAGUAUUUCAGGCUCACUGAGCUAGUGGUUCCAAGCAGAAUUUUUUCUCUUCACAAAAAGUCUGAAACUCCUGAAGACAGUUAUGAGUUGGUAAAAUGUCCUGAUUUGUCUUGCAAUCAACUGAAACAGCACAGUUUGUAAUAACUCUCAGUUGCAUAUCUCACCCCUGGGCUGACCUGAUUACAUUGCAGCCUAGCCUUCAUUUUGAAAAUUAAGUUUCAAAAGGUGCCCCAAAUGCUUUCAAAGACCAUUUUUUUUUCAGCUGAUCCUUCAAAUACACUGAAACAACCACUCCGAGAGUUGAAGUUACCCUUCUGGUCUCUUUUGGAGGAUUAACUGGAAGAGGUUGAAGUUCACCAAGCCACAUGGUCAAUGGACUACAUCCCCAUUACAGCAGAGAAUCUCCUGCAACAAUAGAAAAGAGCUGCAGAGCCAGCUGGUCCCUCUGUUCCCAGCUGUCCUGGUACCUCAACAGAGAGGAAAACCCAAGCUACCAACUACUGCCUCCCAUGUGAAGUGGCAGCACAUACUGUACUGUAACGUACAACCUAUCCAAGCUCUAAAGCAAUGGAAACUACCACUUGCUUCUUACUGCAGCCUGCAGUUAACCUUCUGUAUCUGCAGAACAUGCAGAACAGGGGAACAGAGAAAACAGCACUCCAGUUUUUUGAAAUGGAAAAAUUUGCCUUUCAGAGCAAUAACCUGCAUCAGGAGGAGCAGAGACAGCAGCCAAACAGAAGUGGUGGCGGAGCAGGAAAUUGCACCGUCCAUUCAGAAGAGAUCAGCACUGGUGCUCCUGUCAGCCAGCUUUUGUAGAAGAAAAAAAAAAAGGCUGAAGGUGGGAUUCAGAUUCAAAUUCAGACCCCUAGAUUGAGGUUUCAGCCAUGUCAGCCUACAGGAUAU
Molecule: long non-coding RNA, 8351 nt
Organism: Aquila chrysaetos chrysaetos
Lineage: Eukaryota; Metazoa; Chordata; Aves; Accipitriformes; Accipitridae
Exons: 2
Source: RefSeq, a predicted model, not a curated record